RNAcentral lists this ribosomal RNA (253 nucleotides) under uncultured bacterium. RNAcentral's name for it is "partial 16S ribosomal RNA". It matches the Rfam family "Bacterial small subunit ribosomal RNA", at positions 524 to 776 of the family's 1533-position model. The record is from RNAcentral.
UACAGAGACUGCAAGCGUUAUCCGGAUUCACUGGGCGUAAAGGGUGCGCAGGCGGCCGUGUGUGUGAGGCGUGAAAGCCUGGAGCUUAACUCCAGAAUUGCACCUCAAACUACACGGCUAGAGCAUUGGAGAGGGUAGCAGAAUUCACGGUGUAGCAGUGAAAUGCGUAGAUAUCGUGAGGAAUACCAGAGGCGAAGGCGGCUACCUGGACAAUUGCUGACGCUCAGGCACGAAAGCGUGGGGAGCAAAAGGG